Paramuricea clavata is the source of this 86-nucleotide non-coding RNA. Lineage: Eukaryota; Metazoa; Cnidaria; Anthozoa; Malacalcyonacea; Plexauridae. The record is from the annotation of a GenBank genome assembly.
CUACCGUUAGCUCAGUUGGUGGAGCGAAGGACUGUAGUUAUUACCAAAUCAGUAUUCCUUCACCGAUUCGAGCCCGGUACGGUAGA